CAAUAGCGUAUAUUAAAGUUGUUGCAGUUAAAAAGCUCGUAGUUGGAUUUCUGGUUGAAGCGACCGGUCGGGCGUUGAUUCGUCUGCACUGGAGUCGGUUUUGGCCAUCCUCUAGGAAAGUGCGUCUGGUAUUAAGUUAUCGGGCGUAUGAUCCUGGUCUUUUACUGUGAAAAAAUUAGAGUGUUUAAAGCAGGCCUUCGCCUUGAAUACAUUAGCAUGGAAUAAUAAGAUAGGACUUUGGUCUAUUUUGUUGGUUUGCAGACCGAAGUAAUGAUUAAUAGGGAUAGUUGGGGGUAUUUAUAUUCCGAUGUCAGAGGUGAAAUUCUUAGAUUUUCGGAAGAUAAACUUAUGCGAAAGCAUUUACCAAGGAUGUUUUCAUUG
RNAcentral lists this ribosomal RNA (381 nucleotides) under uncultured eukaryote. RNAcentral's name for it is "partial 18S ribosomal RNA". It matches the Rfam family "Eukaryotic small subunit ribosomal RNA", at positions 592 to 975 of the family's 1831-position model. The record is from RNAcentral.